Molecule: ribosomal RNA, 371 nt
Filed under: uncultured bacterium
Lineage: Bacteria
Description: bacterial SSU rRNA
Rfam family: Bacterial small subunit ribosomal RNA
Source: RNAcentral
GUAGGGUGCGAGCGUUAAUCGGAAUUACUGGGCGUAAAGGGCGCGUAGGCGGCGCGGUAAGUCACUUGUGAAAUCUCUGAGCUUAACUCAGAACGGCCAAGUGAUACUGCAGUGCUAGAGUGUGGAAGGGGCAAUCGGAAUUCUUGGUGUAGCGGUGAAAUGCGUAGAUAUCAAGAGGAACACCUGAGGUGAAGACGGGUUGCUGGGCCAACACUGACGCUGAUGCGCGAAAGCCAGGGGAGCAAACGGGAUUAGAUACCCCGGUAGUCCUGGCCCUAAACGAUGAAUACUUGGUGUCUGGAGUUUUAAUGCUCCGGGUGCCGUCGCUAACGCUUUAAGCAUUCCGCCUGGGGAGUACGGUCGCAAGACUG